GGAAGUGGUUAGGCUCUGGUGAGUCUCCUGGACUUCAAAUCCAGUGAGGGGCGUGAGCAACGUCCUUGGUGGGUUCGAUUCCCAUGCACUUCCGCCA
This 97-nucleotide transfer RNA is filed under the name Deltaproteobacteria bacterium. RNAcentral's name for it is "tRNA-Sec". It matches the Rfam family "Selenocysteine transfer RNA". The record is from RNAcentral. Lineage: Bacteria; Pseudomonadati; Myxococcota; Myxococcia. RNAcentral also lists the same sequence under 1 other name.